GAGUAACACGUGGGUAAUCUACCUCUGAGUGGGGAAUAACCCUGGGAAACCGGGGCUAAUACCGCAUAAUCUCGAGAGAGGAAAGCAGCAAUGCGCUGAGAGAGGAGCCCGCGGCCGAUUAGCUAGUUGGUAGGGUAAGAGCCUACCAAGGCAGAGAUCGGUAGCCGGCCUGAGAGGGCACACGGCCACACUGGCACUGAAACACGGGCCAGACUCCUACGGGAGGCAGCAGUGGGGAAUCUUGCACAAUGGGGGAAACCCUGAUGCAGCGACGCCGCGUGAGCGAUGAAGCCCUUCGGGGUGUAAAGCUCUUUCGUCAGGGAAGAUCAUGACGGUACCUGGAGAAGCAGCUGCGGCUAACUACGUGCCAGCAGCCGCGGUAAUACGUAGGCAGCGAGCGUUGUUCGGAGUUACUGGGCGUAAAGGGUGUGUAGGCGGUUCUUUAAGUUUGGUGUGAAAUCUCCCGGCUCAACCGGGAGGGUGCGCCGAAUACUGAGGGACUUGGAGUGCGGGAGAGGAAAGUGGAAUUCCUGGUGUAGCGGUGAAAUGC
This 550-nucleotide ribosomal RNA is filed under the name uncultured bacterium. RNAcentral's name for it is "bacterial SSU rRNA". It matches the Rfam family "Bacterial small subunit ribosomal RNA", at positions 108 to 689 of the family's 1533-position model. The record is from RNAcentral.